GACUAGAGUAGGGCGGGACACGUGAAAUCCUGUCUGAACAUGGGGGGACCACCCUCCAAGCCUAAAUACUCGUACAUGACCGAUAGCGAACUAAGUACCGUGAGGGAAAGGUGAAAAGCCCCCCGACGAGGGGAGUGAAACAGUACCUGAAACCGAACGCCUACAAUCAGUCGGAGCUCCCUUGAGGAGUGACGGCGUACCUUUUGUAUAAUGGGUCAUCGACUUGGUC
This 229-nucleotide ribosomal RNA is filed under the name Oxyrrhis marina. RNAcentral's name for it is "partial Bacterial large subunit ribosomal RNA". It matches the Rfam family "Bacterial large subunit ribosomal RNA", at positions 405 to 633 of the family's 2925-position model. Lineage: Eukaryota; Dinophyceae; Oxyrrhinales; Oxyrrhinaceae. The record is from RNAcentral.